AACGCGAAGAACCUUACCAGCUUUUGACAUGUCCCGUUUGGGGCGCAGAGAUGCGCUCCUUCAGUUCGGCUGGCGGGAACACAGGUGCUGCAUGGCUGUCGUCAGCUCGUGUCGUGAGAUGUUGGGUUAAGUCCCGCAACGAGCGCAACCCUCGCCCUUAGUUGCCAUCAUUCAGUUGGGCACUCUAAGGGGACUGCCGGUGAUAAGCCGCGAGGAAGGUGGGGAUGACGUCAAGUCCUCAUGGCCCUUACAGGCUGGGCUACACACGUGCUACAAUGGCGGUGACAAUGGGCAGCGAAGGGGCGACCUGGAGCUAAUCCCAAAAAGCCGUCUCAGUUCAGAUUGCACUCUGCAACUCGAGUGCAUGAAGGUGGAAUCGCUAGUAAUCGUGGAUCAGCACGCCACGGUGAAUACGUUCCCGGGCCUUGUA
RNAcentral lists this ribosomal RNA (430 nucleotides) under uncultured Alphaproteobacteria bacterium. RNAcentral's name for it is "bacterial SSU rRNA". It matches the Rfam family "Bacterial small subunit ribosomal RNA", at positions 958 to 1385 of the family's 1533-position model. The record is from RNAcentral. Lineage: Bacteria; Pseudomonadati; Pseudomonadota; Alphaproteobacteria.